AUUGAACGCUGGCGGCAGGCUUAACACAUGCAAGUCGAGCGGGGUGAUGGUGCUUGCACUAUCACUUAGCGGCGGACGGGUGAGUAAUGCUUAGGAAUCUGCCUAUUAGUGGGGGACAACAUCUCGAAAGGGAUGCUAAUACCGCAUACGUCCUACGGGAGAAAGCAGGGGAUCACUUGUGACCUUGCGCUAAUAGAUGAGCCUAAGUCGGAUUAGCUAGUUGGUGGGGUAAAGGCCUACCAAGGCGACGAUCUGUAGCGGGUCUGAGAGGAUGAUCCGCCAAACUGGGACUGAGACACGGCCCAGACUCCUACGGGAGGCAGCAGUGGGGAAUAUUGGACAAUGGGGGGAACCCUGAUCCAGCCAUGCCGCGUGUGUGAAGAAGGCCUUAUGGUUGUAAACUGCUUUUGUACAGAACGAAAAGGUUUCUACUAAUACUAGGAGCUCAUGACGGUACUGUAAGAAUAAGCACCGGCUAACUACGUGCCAGCAGCCGCGGUAA
RNAcentral lists this ribosomal RNA (502 nucleotides) under uncultured bacterium. Its description in RNAcentral is "partial 16S ribosomal RNA". It matches the Rfam family "Bacterial small subunit ribosomal RNA", at positions 30 to 523 of the family's 1533-position model. The record is from RNAcentral.